CAGAAGAUUGAAACUGGACCUGUAUUUCUCACCAAAUGCUAAAUUAAAAUAAAAGUGCAUCAAAGAUCCAAACGUUAAAACAGGUUAACAUUCAUAUACCACCAAACUGGAUUGAAAGAGACAGAAACAGAGCCCUAAAGUAUGGAGGAAGUAGGUCGAGUCUACACGAUCACCAACUCAGUAUUACAGAAAGGGAAGGAUUCUUGCUGGUAGCACCAAGACACCAGAAGAUGCUAAUGAGGAAACUAAGGCACAAAGAGUUUAAGUAACAUGUCCAGGAUCAUACAAAUG
Molecule: long non-coding RNA, 291 nt
Organism: Fukomys damarensis (Damara mole-rat)
Lineage: Eukaryota; Metazoa; Chordata; Mammalia; Rodentia; Bathyergidae
Exons: 3
Source: RefSeq, a predicted model, not a curated record